This is a long non-coding RNA of Syngnathus acus (greater pipefish), 140 nucleotides long. RefSeq lists it as uncharacterized. The transcript has 3 exons. Lineage: Eukaryota; Metazoa; Chordata; Actinopteri; Syngnathiformes; Syngnathidae. The record is from RefSeq and is a predicted model, not a curated record.
ACUUAAAACGAGCAGUGACAAGACGUCACUUAAAGACCUUGAGAAUUCUAGACCCUAUCAAGUGCAAUAGGAGCAGUUAAAUUCCGCGGGGGCGUUGUGGAGCCCCCUAACUUAUUGUGUGAAAUCUAGCGAUUAAAUGU